ACAGUAGUACUACACCUUCACCAUGUAGACAGCAGUACUACACCUUCACCAUCUAAUACAGUAGACAGUAGUAUUACACCUUCAACAUCAGUAGACAAUGGUACUACAGUUUCACCAUCUAAUACAGUAGACAGCAGUAUUACACAUUCACCAUCUAAUACAGUAGACAGCAGUAUUACACAUUCACCAUGUAACACAGUAGACAGUAGUACUACACCUUCACCAUGUAACACAGUAGACAGCAGUACUACACAUUCACCAUCUAAUACAGUAGACAGUAGUAUUACACAUUCACCAUCAGUAGACAAUAGUACUAGAGUUUCUCCAUCUAAUACAGUAGACAGCAGUAUUACACAUUCACCAUCUAAUACAGUAGACAGCAGUACUACACAUUCACCAUCAGUAGACAAUAGUACUAGAGUUUCUCCAUCUAAUAUAGUAGACAGCAGUAUUACACAUUCACCAUCUAAUACAGUAGACAGCAGUAUUACACAUUCACCAUCUAACACAGCAGGCAGGACUGCUAAACCUUCAGAAUCUAAAACAGUAGACAGCAAUACUCCACCUUCACCAGAAGAAGGUAGCACAAUAACAGCAGUCACAACGUCCACUGCUCUUGGUGAGUGUAUGAUGAUAUCCAGGUAUUCUAUCCUGCAGAAAGAAACAAUGUGUACUGAACAAAAAAAUAAGCACAUUAUGUAAAGCAUUGGACUCAUGUUUCAUGAGCUGAAAUAAAAGAUCCCAGAAAAUGUCCAUAUGCACAAAAAGCGUAUUUCUCUCAAAUGUUGUGCACAAAUGUAUUUACAUCCCUUUAAGUGAGAAUUUCUCCUUGGCCAAAAUGAUCCAUUCACUUGACAUAUGAUUAAACAGCACAGUCAUUACACAGGUGCACCUUGUGUUGGGGACAAUAAAAGGCCACUCUAAAAUGUGAAGUCUUGUCACACAACACCAUGCCACAGAUGUCUCAAGUUUUGAGGCAGCGUGCAAUUGGCAUGCUGACUGCAGGAAUGUCCACCAGAACUAUUGCUGGAGAACUGAGUGUUAAUUUCUCUACCAUAAGCCACCUCCGUCAUUUUAGAGAACUUGGCAGUACGUCCAACCGGCCUCACAACCGCAGACCAUGUGUAACCAUGCCAGCCCAGGACCUCCACAUCCGGCUUCUUCACCUGCGGGAUCGUCUAAGACCAGCUACCAGCUGAUGAAACUUUGGGUUUGCAUAACCGAAGAAUUUCUGCACCAACUGUCAGAAACCUUCUCAGGGAAGCUUGUCUGCCUGCUCAUUGUCCUCAUGAGACAAACGGUGGUCACACAACAUACUGACUGGUUUUCUGAUCCACGCCCAAACUUCUUUUUGAAGGUCUCUCAUGUUGCGUUUAUAUUUUUGUUCAGUGUAGUUUACCAUUUCAUCCAGGAUAAGCACCUGUUUCGACAAAGAAUGGCACAUCAGUAAAUAGUGCUCACUUAUUAAUAUCCCUUAACACUUUUCUUUUUAAAACAGACAACAGAGUCAAACACAGGAGGAAGCAAUACUACACGUUCACCGCUAGAGGACAGCACAGUCGCAAAAGUCACAGCCUCCACCACUCUGGGUGAGUAUCUGAACUGUCAAUCCCACCUCUAAUCACACCUAUCCCCUAGUUGUAUGGACCAAGAAUGAAUGCAGCAAAUUACAAAUUGUUUAUCAUAUACAUGGAUUAUUUCAGAACUUCAGAACCCUGCUGUGUCUAACCCGGUACAUACCAUUACCAGUCCAGCAGUCAAGUAAUUUUGAUCACGCAACUGACACAACACCACCAGUCAUAACCCUGUUCUACAAUUUGCACACCACAACCAUUGUCUCCAAGGACACAACUGAGAUGGGCCAUAAGAACAUCAUAACCUCUUACAAAGGCAGGCUUACAGUCCCCACUGCCAAGUUGCUCAAUAAGGAAAUUAUUGAUUUUGUAUAGGCCAUACUUUACAGUAUGGGUAGGAUCAUCAUCUUAAUCAUAUGAAAUUGUGAUUUUUUUCUCACAGAUACCAAAACUCUGAUCGCCCAUUUGAGGGUCUCUAUUGUUUCAGCUGGGGAGAGAAGUGAGGAAGAGAUCAUUGAGGCGUUGCACAAUGUAAGGGAAGCUUACAAUCAUCCACUCUGACAAGGCUUCAUUAUUCAAUAAAACGUUAGAAAUCCCUACAUAACCAGCAUGAACCGUAAAUAGGCUAUAUUAAAUCAACCUGCUGAGACACCAGGAAGGAGAGGCUUUAUUUGCUCUUCCUCUCCUCCUAGCUUGCAGCCCAGGUCCGAGCCUUUCUACAGAGGGAGUACUGUAAAGACUGCACACUCAGGAUCAGAAACAUCAGAUGGACGUAAGACCAACAUUUGAUCCAAACCAUUAACCCAAACAAUCUUAUGAGGUCCAUGGCACUAUCCCUCAUCAUAUAACCCAUAUAAUACACUAGGGUUCCAGGAGGGUUCUUUAGCUGUCCCCAUAGGUUCCAGGUAUAACCCUUUUUGGUUCCAGGUAGUACUCCUUUGGGUUCCAUGUAGAACCCUCUGUGAAAAGUGUUCUACAUGGAACCCAAAAGAGCUCUACCUGUAAUCAAAUAGGUUCUACCUGGAACCAAAAAUCGUUCUUCAAAUGGUUCUCCUAUGGGGACAGCCGAAUAACACUUUUAGGUUCUAGAUAGCACCCUUUUUCUAAGAGUGUAGCCUGGGCCCCACAGAUAUACCUACCUCUGAAUAUCCACAAUGCCAGGUCACACUUUUCAGCCAUUUUAAUUUUGGUUCCGGCUAUAUCUUUUUCAGACUAAUGAAAUAUAUGGCCUAUUAAUUUUAAAUAUUUGUAUUUUACCUUAUUUAACCAGGUUGGCCAGACAUAUGCGAUUGUAAGCGUAUGAUGCUGUUUGGGCAUUUGUCACAAGGAGGCAGUAGAACCUUUUCUUCUUUCCAACAGAAACACAGAAAAAUAAGCUUUCCUCUUUUGUUUCAACACUGUUUCAUGGCUACCAAACAAAGUUAUUUAGUGCAAAUUGUGCAACAAUUAAACAAUUUGUGUAGUUUUUAACGAAUUCAUAUUUGUAUACGCAGAAAGAAAGAACAUCAGCCAGAGCAGCGUGAUAUUGUCCUUCCGCAGCACAUCAUUUUCUCGGAGGCGUAGCCCACAUUUUUUAAGCUUUUACACGUGUUCCAAACUUCAGAUAGGACAACAGGCGCUGAUGUGAGAAAGCAUGAGCAGUAGGAGCACAGCGCAAAAAUCUAAUUAUGAGAGAAGAGGAAGGAGAUUCCACCGCCCCAGGGACCGCGUUGUCUUUUAUAGCUACACCCGCUCUAUCCAAUUAGGGCAGUGCAGGCUCGAUCUGACCCAGGGUGCUGCUCCCUCUGACCCGGGAAAUUCGGUUGUCCUCAAGGCCUACUCUCACCGCCUUUGACCAAGCUGUUAAAAGGUAUCGACAGUCAUGGCUUAGGUAUACCCAGCUAUUCUCAGCCACAAUAGCCUUGGUUACCCCACUGAAGACACCGAACUAGGCUACAAACACUCUGCUGAUUAAUUGUAAAACACAUAGCUUACAUUUGCGUCUUCAUAAACUGGAAUUUGUUUACUUUCUCUGUGUACCAAUGCAUGCCAAAUAUCUGACCAUGCUUAAUGGGGAGAAAAUAAUACGAGUGGAAGUGGAAUCUGCACGAGCGCAUUUAGGGAUUGUGGACCUUUCCAGUCCGUUACUUUGACGCGCUGGCUCGAUGCGCGGCCACUAUCACAAGCGGGCAGAGCGCGCGCGUUUGAUUUGCCUCAAACGCCACGGUGAUAUGAGCCUCGUCUCGUGGCACGGAUUCGGGAGGGGUGUUAAAUGUAGAACAGAACAAUACGUUGUUCGUCGUCGUAGUCGUCCCUCUCAAUCCAGGUUGUUUAUUUCAAAGCAUCGCUGUAGUAGUGCGUGGUGCAAAUGUUAAGCGUAUGUUCUUAUUGCGCACAUCUCCACAAUCCUGCUAGAUGUAAUUUAUGUUAGUUCUCUUGACUGAUACAUUCUAAGGGUUCGCCUUUCGCCAUCUCGGUUUGUAAACUCAGCUCAUAUAGGGUCAUACAGUAUUAGCUUGCUGCUCCCAAGGGACAACUUCCCAAGGCAAUGGCAUAGGAAUGCCACUCAGAUCAUGGCUCUGAGUAGGAGCAUAUAACUUUGGGCUUGAUUAUGGUUACUUGUAUUUUUUU
Long non-coding RNA from Oncorhynchus mykiss (rainbow trout), 4184 nucleotides. The record is from Ensembl. NCBI's taxonomy places the organism in Eukaryota, Metazoa, Chordata, Actinopteri, Salmoniformes, Salmonidae.